RNAcentral lists this transfer RNA (72 nucleotides) under Entomophthora muscae. Its description in RNAcentral is "tRNA-Glu". It matches the Rfam family "tRNA". Rfam says of the family: Transfer RNA (tRNA) molecules are approximately 80 nucleotides in length. Their secondary structure includes four short double-helical elements and three loops (D, anti-codon, and T loops). Further hydrogen bonds mediate the characteristic L-shaped molecular structure. tRNAs have two regions of fundamental functional importance: the anti-codon, which is responsible for specific mRNA codon recognition, and the 3' end, to which the tRNAs corresponding amino acid is attached (by aminoacyl-tRNA synthetases). tRNAs cope with the degeneracy of the genetic code in two manners: having more than one tRNA (with a specific anti-codon) for a particular amino acid; and 'wobble' base-pairing, i.e. permitting non-standard base-pairing at the 3rd anti-codon position. The record is from RNAcentral. Lineage: Eukaryota; Fungi; Entomophthoromycota; Entomophthoromycetes; Entomophthorales; Entomophthoraceae.
UCCCUAAUGGUCCAGUGGCUAGGAUUCCACGCUCUCACCGUGGCAGCCAGGGUUCGGUUCCCUGUUGGGGAG